RNAcentral lists this ribosomal RNA (460 nucleotides) under uncultured bacterium. RNAcentral describes it as "partial 16S ribosomal RNA". It matches the Rfam family "Bacterial small subunit ribosomal RNA", at positions 338 to 795 of the family's 1533-position model. The record is from RNAcentral.
CCUACGGGAGGCAGCAGUGAGGAAUAUUGGUCAAUGGACGAAAGUCUGAACCAGCCAUGUAGCGUGAAGGAUGACUGCCCUAUGGGUUGUAAACUUCUUUUAUAUGGGAAUAAAAUGUUCCACGUGUGUGAUUUUGUAUGUACCAUAUGAAUAAGGAUCGGCUAACUCCGUGCCAGCAGCCGCGGUAAUACGGAGGAUCCGAGCGUUAUCCGGAUUUGUUGGGUUUAAAGGGUGCGUAGGUGGCUGGUUAAGUCAGAGGUGAAAGUCUGCGGCUCAACCUUAAAAUUGCAGUUGACACUGGUCGUCUUGAGUACAGUAGAGGUAGGCGGAAUGCGUGGUGUAGCGGUGAAAUGCUUAGAUAUCACGCAGAACUCCGAUUGCGAAGGCAGCUCACUAGACUGCAACUGACACUGAGGCACGAAAGCGUGGGGAGCAAACAGGAUUAGAUACCCCUGUAGUC